This 253-nucleotide ribosomal RNA is filed under the name uncultured bacterium. RNAcentral describes it as "partial 16S ribosomal RNA". It matches the Rfam family "Bacterial small subunit ribosomal RNA", at positions 524 to 776 of the family's 1533-position model. The record is from RNAcentral.
UACGUAGGGUGCGAGCGUUGUCCGGAAUUAUUGGGCGUAAAGAGCUUGUAGGCGGUCUGUCGCGUCUGCUGUGAAAAUCCGGGGCUCAACUCCGGACUUGCAGUGGGUACGGGCAGACUAGAGUGUGGUAGGGGAGACUGGAAUUCCUGGUGUAGCGGUGAAAUGCGCAGAUAUCAGGAGGAACACCGAUGGCGAAGGCAGGUCUCUGGGCCACUACUGACGCUGAGAAGCGAAAGCAUGGGGAGCGAACAGG